AUGGGCCGCGGCCGUGCCAGGAGGCGCCCUCCGACACCCUCCGACUCCUCAUCGUCGGACGAGGAGCUCCUGCUGCCGGUCGGCGUGGAAUUGGACGAUGAGGACGAGGCGGACCAUGAGUCGGAGGACGACCACGAGCAGCUCAUACUACUUCCGGUCGGCGCGGAGGUGGAGGUGCGCAGCGACGACCCGGGCUUCGCCGGCUCCUUCUACGAGGCCACCGUCGCCGGCCACCUGCUCUCCGGCGGCCGCCGCGGGCGCUACACGGUGGAAUACACCACGCUCCUGGCCGACGACGGGGACGACGAGCCGCUCAGGGAGACAGCGGCCGCCGCCAACGUGCGACCGCGGCCACCACCGGUCGAGGAAAGGGAUAGGGAGUUCGCGGUCCACGAGAUGGUGGAGGCGUUCCACAACGACGGGUGGUGGGCCGGCGUGGUCUCCGCCGUCCUCCCGCGGCCGGUGAUGGCCGGGGAUCGCCGGCAGCCGAGGGCGUACGUGGUCACGUUCCCCACCUCGCGGGAGACGCUGGAGUUCGGGGAGGCGGAUCUGCGGCCGCACCGCGUGUUCGAGGACGGCCGGUGGGUCCCGGCUGCAGAGGUGGACAAUGGAAGUCCUUUGUUCGGUGAGGGAAACCAAGUUGAAGUGAGUGGAAAAUCCUUCGGCGCAUCCUGGAGUCCAGCUACUGUUCUUAAAGUGAUUGGUGCUACAAAUUUUCUAGUAGAGUACAUGCAUAUUGAAAAUGACGGGGAAUUGGCCACUGAGAUUGUCGAUUCUCAAGAUAUUCGGCCAGCACGCGCCAUCACCCGUAUGGACUCCAAGUACAGAUUUUCUCCUUCUUCUCAUGUCGAGGUCCAUCAUGAAGAUAGUUGGUGGCCUGGUGUUAUUGUUAAGGUUUUAGGUAGUGGAAUCAACAAGAAGUAUGUGGUGAAAUUGAAGAAUCACGAGACAGACAUGGAAGACGUGCAACCUGUGGAUGUUUUGACGGUUCAAAAUACGCAACUAAGGCCACGGUUUGACUGGGACGGUAAAAAAUGGGUACGCUGCGUGAAAGAGCCUUCACACCAAAAUUAUGUCCAUGAGAUGCAUCCAUUUCAGAAAUCUUCUCGAAAAAGGCUAGUUUCCGCCUUGUAUGAUGACUCUGAUAAAAUCAGUAAUGAACGUGAUUCUCAUCGUGACAAAAAGUUGAAGAAUGAAGAUGUGAUAUCAGGAAAAAAAUCUCCUCUUUCUCUGUCCAUUUGCAAUGAGAGCAAUGAAAUUACUCAUAAUCAACGGAAUGCAGUAUUGGCAUUACGGUCUAAGCUAUCACUUCCUUCACUGCCACCAAUGACAGCAUUUAACCAGCUGAGUUCAUCUUCACUUGCUCCAAGCUGUCAUCUGGAACAAUCAUCCUCUCAGAUGAUUAUCAUACCCUAUACGCCACAAAGUGGACAGUUACGAGCUUCCUUAUUUGGAGAGUUACGGGCUGCUGAAGCUAUUGAUGAAGAGAGCAACAUCAUAGCUGUCUCUGAACACUUAGAUGAACUGCCUAAGGAUGUGACUGCUGGAUGCGGAAUACUUCCAAAAAUAAAUAUGGCAAGUCACAUUGACAUCAGAGGUUCACAAGAGGGUAGUGUAAUAGAUGAUCUUCAGCAAGGAGGCUAUGUUGGUGAAACUAGUGUUGAGCAGGACACUGGUGGAGAAUUAUGUCAGAGGUAUUUGGCUAUGGCUGAUAAUGCCAACGUUCCUUUGUUGCCUUCAGCAGAGAGUUGUGAAGCUAAUUUGCACGACAACCGGCUCUCCAAGGACAACACAGCAGCUUCGGUGGAGUGUGUUACUUGUUAUGCUGCUCCAGCCGAGGACUUGUCUCUUAUACCUACUUUAGAUGGUGUUGUACCAUUAGAGUGGGAUUUGGAGGUCAAUAUAACUGAAGAUAUGGAUGAGGCGAACCAUCAAGGGAGUGUAGUUGGGUUAGCCAGCAAUGGGCAUCAUAAUCAGUAUACUAGUGUUCACUGUCCAUUCUCAGCCACAUCUUUAACUGCACUUGAGGAUGACAUGAUUACCACUGAAAGUCCAAGCGGGGAGUUCUUAUGCAGUAGCCAAUCCAUCGAGAAGUCGACAGUAACUCGGUUGUCUUCUGUUGGCAUGAACAAUUAUAGUGUGACAGAACCUGUCGAUGAUAGCUUGGCCAUAACAAAUGGUGUGGAGGGUACACCAGUACCCAGGUAUGUUGCAAGCAGAACAAAUGAUUCUGCCUUUCCCUUGUCGCCGGAAUCUCUAGCGGUGCAUGAGAGUACCAUGGACACGAACAGCCGCCUUUCAGGAUCCUUGGCAUUCCAGCAUCUUCCAUUUGUGAAGACCUCCCCAAUGUGGGCGCAUCUCGAGGCACUGGAAAUUUUCAGGAAAGCGCCACAGCGGCCACAUUUUCGUCAUUUCCAGCAGUAUUGUCCAGAGCUCCGCGAAGGGAUGGCAUUAGGUUUGAUGCACUCUUUUGCCAAUUUAGCAGAAAGCAUAAACAUGCUGGAUGUUCAGGGUGACAAAGAACUACUACUCGAACAGAAGAUGAAGAGCCUCGCUUUGCUCGAGGAGAAUGGUUUCGAUGUCACGUACCUGAGAUCACGCGUGGAAGCUUUACUCAAAGCAGAUAAUAGUCGCGUCGAAGAGCUGGAGGAGAAGAUUGCCCGCAUAGAAACCUACGACCAAGAACUCGGCACGCGAGUUCGCGCGCUGGCUAUGACAGUCCAUCGUCUCGAGCUACAUGCAUAUCUUAUGCGCAACAUGAUGCGGUCUGCCAUCACGCGGAAGAUGAGCAAUGCUGUGAAGAUCUCAAGACUCAAAGCAGAAGCAAACGAUCUUGAGAGAUCGUAUCUUUCCAACGCCGCGCCUCGGUGA
This 2871-nucleotide ribosomal RNA is filed under the name Triticum aestivum (bread wheat). RNAcentral describes it as "partial small subunit ribosomal RNA". Lineage: Eukaryota; Viridiplantae; Streptophyta; Magnoliopsida; Poales; Poaceae. The record is from RNAcentral.